Molecule: ribosomal RNA, 867 nt
Filed under: uncultured archaeon
Lineage: Archaea
Description: bacterial SSU rRNA
Rfam family: Archaeal small subunit ribosomal RNA
Source: RNAcentral
UACGGCUCAGUAACACGUGGCUAACCUACCCUUGAGACGGAGACAACCCCGGGAAACUGGGGCUAAUCCCAGAUAGAUGAGAACUCCUGGAACGGGUUCUCGUCCAAAAGGCGUCUAGGCCAUGCUUCUAGAUGUUGCUCAAGGAUGGGGCCGCGGCCGAUCAGGCUGUUGGUGAGGCAACGGCUCACCAAACCUAUAACCGGUACGGGCCGUGGGAGCGGGAGCCCGGAGAUGGGAACUGAGACAAGGUCCCAGGCCCUACGGGGCGCAGCCGUUGCGAAAACUUGUCAAUGCACGAAAGUGUGAACGGGCUACCCCGAGUGCCGUCCGCUGAGGAUGGCUUUUCCCUGCUGUUAGAAGGCGGGGGAAUAAGGAGAGGGCAAGUCUGGUGUCAGCCGCCGCGGUAAUACCAGCUCUCCGAGUGGUGGGGAUGUUUAUUGGGCUUAAAGCGUCCGUAGCCUGCCUUUCAAGUCUCUCGUUAAAUCCGGCGAUUCAAUCGUUGGACUGCGGGAGAUACUGUUAGGCUAGGGGGCGGGAGAAGCCGACGGUAUUUCCGGGGUAGGGGUAAAGUCCUAUAAUCCCGGGAGGACCACCAGUGGCGUAGGCGGUCGGCUAGCACGCGCUCGACGGUGAGGGACGAAAGCUGGGGGAGCAAACCGGAUUAGAUACCCGGAUAGUCCCAGCUGUAAACGAUGCGGGCUAGGUGUUUGGGGUGGCCACGAGCCACUUCAGUGCCGCAGGGAAGCCAUUAAGCCCGCCGCCUGGGGAGUACGGCCGCAAGGCUGAAACUUAAAGGAAUUGGCGGGGGAGCACCACAAGGGUGAAGCUUGCGGUUCAAUUGGAGUCAACGCCGGGAAUCGUCACUUG